RNAcentral lists this ribosomal RNA (466 nucleotides) under uncultured bacterium. RNAcentral's name for it is "partial 16S ribosomal RNA". It matches the Rfam family "Bacterial small subunit ribosomal RNA", at positions 339 to 795 of the family's 1533-position model. The record is from RNAcentral.
CUACGGGACGCUCCAGUCGAGAAUAGUCUACAAUGGACGAAAGUCUGAUAGUGCGACGCCGCGUGGAUGAAGAAGCAUUUCGGUGUGUAAAGUCCUUUUCUGUGUGAGCAAUGUUUUCCAGGUUAAUAGCUUGGAGAAAGCGAUAUUAACACAGGAAUAAGCUCCGGCUAACUCCGUGCCAGCAGCCGCGGUAACACGGGGGGAGCAAGCGUUGUCCGGAAUUACUAGGCGUAAAGGGUAAGUAGGCGGAAUUGUAAGUCAGAUGUUAAAGGCACCGGCUCAACCGGUGUAUGGCAUUUGAUACUGUAAUUCUAGAGUAAGGUGGGGGAAGACGGAAUUCCUGGUGUAGCGGUGGAAUGCGCAGAUAUCAGGAGGAACACCAGAGGCGCAGGCGGUCUUCUAUACCAUUACUGACGCUCAAUUACGAAGGUGUGGGUAUCAAACAGGAUUAGAUACCCUAGUAGUC